RNAcentral lists this long non-coding RNA (1136 nucleotides) under Gossypium barbadense (sea-island cotton). RNAcentral describes it as "long non-coding RNA (GBAR_LNC000199)". The record is from RNAcentral. Lineage: Eukaryota; Viridiplantae; Streptophyta; Magnoliopsida; Malvales; Malvaceae.
UGGGAAGUUGCAAAUAAAAUAAUGAUAUCUCUAAGGAAUCAAAGUCACAUGCUUACAUAUGGAAGACUUAGCAUUCUAGAAGUCGGCAGGUCUUCAAACUCAAAUUUUUGCUAACACUGUUGAUUCUCUGUAAUCAAUAUUGUACCGGCCCAAAUUUGCCCGGGCCCAUGCCAAAAUCAAAAUAAAAUAAUAAUAACAAAACCCAAAUAUUAAUAAGUCUAAUGUCUAAAUUACAAAGAUAAAAUAACAGGCUUAAAAACCUAAUAGCCCAAUCAAGACCCAACUACUAGCCCAAAACUUAAAAAGCUAACCCUAGCCCACUAGCUCUUAACAUUUUCAGAAAGCAAAAGAACCCUAGUCAUUUUUGCCUUCAGCCACCACUCCACCCUAUGUACGCUGCACGUCAGCAAGGCCCUCCCCGCACGCCAUCGCCGACCUUGCACGCCUCUGAUGCUUCUCACUUCACCUACAAGACAAAAACAAAGGGGAAGAAGCCAACGCGCAAUAAAACAAAGAAGAAAAGGACAAAAAGCAACAAAAAACAAAAUGAAAAAAAAACAAAGAACGAAUCUUGUAUCGGCUAUAAAGGCCGCAACCUCUCCAUUGUAAUUUUUUUUUUUGCGCACACUAAAAAUAAAAAGCAGAACAGAAGUUUCGAAAGGUUUUGAUCUUUUCAUUAUCUAUUUUCGUUUCUUAUUUCUUUUAUUUUAUUUUUUAUAUAAAAAUCUAUUUUAAUAAAAAGGGAAAAGAAAAAAUAAUAAAAAGAAGAAGGGAAGAUUUACCCGAGUCACCCCGCGGUCUCGUCGUUGGAAGUCCUUUUCUCCGUCGUCGAGGCCAGAUCUAAAAAGGGGUCGAAGUUCUCGUCCUCCGACAGUUGGGUUGGGCAGAUUUGGCCCUCAAAAUAUGAAGAAACGAGGGCCAAAAUCCCCUUUUUGCGUAACUCCGGCCACCGGCCACAGUGGGGCCGCGGUGGGGAGUGGUACACCUACGACAACACCCAAGGUCAAGUUGAAACCCUAGCAAAGAAAAAGGGAGAGUUUUUUUUAAAGUUUUUUAAGAAAAAAAGCAGCUGACUGAAAAUUUAAAAAAAAAUGGUUUAUAUGCAGGAAUGAAAUGGUGCCAUUUUGCACCCAAGG